CUUCUAAAAAGUUUCAAAAAAAAAAAAAAAAAAAAACCCAUCUGUCCAGAAAUCAUCAUUUAUAUAUCUAAAAAACACUUCCACUAGUAUGGCCAAUGGCAUCAAGACUUUCCAUGCAAACAAAUGAUCUAUAGUCUCGAACUCAGCGCCAUACAAAAUACAUUAGUUAUAUCACGACCGCUUUCUUUUGAGUAGAUUGUCCACGGUAAGCAGCAGUCUUUUUUUAACUGCUAGCAGGAGAAAAGUUUUAACUUUAGUAGAAAUUUUCAGUCACCAGUUGGCCUGUAUGAAUAACAAUUUGGCGUUAAUUAAAAAUUUUCAUUAUUAGAGAAUCAUUGUUUUAUUAACUCAUAUUCAACGAUAUCAUAUUGAUCUAUUAUGUUAUCGACCUGCCAAUAAUCUAUUUAUAUUUUUAGAACAUCUGCGCGUAACAGAGAUAAAUUAAAUUUAUUAUUUGACGAAACAAAACAUUCCAUCAGAUGACAAGACAAACGAAUUUGAUAUUUCUGUACAUC
RNAcentral lists this long non-coding RNA (515 nucleotides) under Ananas comosus (pineapple). RNAcentral describes it as "long non-coding RNA (ACOM_LNC016278)". Lineage: Eukaryota; Viridiplantae; Streptophyta; Magnoliopsida; Poales; Bromeliaceae. The record is from RNAcentral.